This 508-nucleotide ribosomal RNA is filed under the name uncultured bacterium. Its description in RNAcentral is "bacterial SSU rRNA". It matches the Rfam family "Bacterial small subunit ribosomal RNA", at positions 8 to 529 of the family's 1533-position model. The record is from RNAcentral.
AGAGUUUGAUCCUGGCUCAGAACGAACGCUACGCGUGCUUCAAACAUGCAGUCGUACGCGAAAGUGACUUCGGUCACGAGUAGAGUGGCGCACGGGUGAGUAACACGUAGUUAACAUUCCCUCUCGCUGGGGAUAACUCCGGGAAACCGGAGCUAAUACCGAAUGAUCUGUCGGGGUCUGCGGACCCCUCCGGUAAAGCCGUAAGGCGCGAGAGGAUUGGGCUGCGUUCCAUUAGCUAGUUGGCGGGGUAAUGGCCCACCAAGGCUACGAUGGAUAGCUGGUCUGAGAGGAUGAUCAGCCACACUGGAACUGACACACGGUCCAGACUCCCACGGGAGGCAGCAGUUGGGAAUAUUGGACAAUGGGGGAAACCCUGAUCCAGCGACGCCGCGUGAAUGAUGAAGGCCUUCGGGUCGUAAAGUUCUUUUAGUGGGGAAGAAGGGAAACUUGACUGUACCCACAGAAAAAGCACCGGCUAACUCUGUGCCAGCAGCCGCGGUAAUACGUA